RNAcentral lists this ribosomal RNA (199 nucleotides) under uncultured bacterium. RNAcentral describes it as "partial 16S ribosomal RNA". It matches the Rfam family "Bacterial small subunit ribosomal RNA", at positions 332 to 523 of the family's 1533-position model. The record is from RNAcentral.
GCCCUUCCUACGGGAGGCAGCAGUGGGGAAUUUUGGACAAUGGGGGCAACCCUGAUCCAGCAAUGCCGCGUGCAGGAAGAAGGCCUUCGGGUUGUAAACUGCUUUUGUACGGAACGAAACGGCUCUGGUUAAUACCCGGGGCUAAUGACGGUACCGUAAGAAUAAGCACCGGCUAACUACGUGCCAGCAGCCGCGGUAA